GACGAACGCUGGCGGCGUGCUUAACACAUGCAAGUCGAACGAAGUGGCGAACGGGUGAGUAACGCGUAAUCAACCUGCCCUUCAGCGGGGGACAACAGUUGGAAACGAAUGCUAAUACCGCAUACUGAAGGUGGGGAUUGCGUCUGAUUAGCUAGUUGGGGGGGUAACGGCGCACCAAGGCGAUGAUCGGUAGGCGGGCUGAGAUGGUGGACGGGCAAAUCGGGACUUGAGCCAGGGCCAGGCUCCAUCGGGAGGGAGGAAUGGGGGAACUGCCGAAAUGGGCGGAAGGCUGACGGAGCAACGCCGGGUUGGUGGUGACGGCCUUCGGGUUGUAAAGCUCUGUUAAUCGGGGCGCGGUACCUGAAGAGAAAGCCACGGCUAACUACGUGCCAGCAGCCGCGGUAAUAC
This 408-nucleotide ribosomal RNA is filed under the name uncultured bacterium. RNAcentral describes it as "partial 16S ribosomal RNA". It matches the Rfam family "Bacterial small subunit ribosomal RNA", at positions 28 to 526 of the family's 1533-position model. The record is from RNAcentral.